Molecule: ribosomal RNA, 465 nt
Filed under: Vreelandella stevensii
Lineage: Bacteria; Pseudomonadati; Pseudomonadota; Gammaproteobacteria; Oceanospirillales; Halomonadaceae
Description: partial 16S ribosomal RNA
Rfam family: Bacterial small subunit ribosomal RNA
Source: RNAcentral
CCUACGGGCGGCAGCAGUGGGGAAUAUUGGACAAUGGGCGAAAGCCUGAUCCAGCCAUGCCGCGUGUGUGAAGAAGGCCUUCGGCUUGUAAAGCACUUUCAGUGGGGAAGAAAGCCUUGGGGCUAAUACCCUCGAGGAAGGACAUCACCCACAGAAGAAGCACCGGCUAACUCCGUGCCAGCAGCCGCGGUAAUACGGAGGGUGCGAGCGUUAAUCGGAAUUACUGGGCGUAAAGCGCGCGUAGGCGGUCUGAUAAGCCGGUUGUGAAAGCCCCGGGCUCAACCUGGGAACGGCAUCCGGAACUGUCAGGCUAGAGUGCAGGAGAGGAAGGUAGAAUUCCCGGUGUAGCGGUGAAAUGCGUAGAGAUCGGGAGGAAUACCAGUGGCGAAGGCGGCCUUCUGGACUGACACUGACGCUGAGGUGCGAAAGCGUGGGUAGCAAACAGGAUUAGAUACCCCAGUAGUC